Salvelinus namaycush (lake trout) is the source of this 1331-nucleotide long non-coding RNA. RefSeq lists it as uncharacterized. The record is from RefSeq and is a predicted model, not a curated record. The transcript is spliced from 3 exons. Lineage: Eukaryota; Metazoa; Chordata; Actinopteri; Salmoniformes; Salmonidae.
AUUUUCGUAAGUCAAAAAGUAGCCAACGUUAGCUAGCUAGCUAGUCAUAAACCGGAAGAACAAUUAUCAUAUCAGUAACAUCAGCAUGCCAGCUAUCUGGCUGGCUAACAGCUGAGUUAGCUCCGUAGCUAAAGUUAGUUACUACAGUCGCGUUUUUGUGCACGAUUUGAUUUGGCAAUACAUAUACAGCUAACACUGGGUUGAUGGUUAACGGUAACCCUUGUUUGCGUGGUCAGCUGCUGUACAGUAGUCAGCAAAUGGCUGUUUAAAAACUGUGUUUACAUAGCUACCUAGGUACUUUUUUUAGCCAGCUAUGCUAACGUUAGCUAACUUGUUGUAAACAAACCCAUUUCGCCCAGUGCACGGUCUGUUAUGCACAUUAAUGAACCAUACCUGAAGAAGUUGAAAAAACAUCGAAUUUGACAUAUUUCUUACACUCUACUUUGGGACAGUUCUUUACAGCAAAAACUCAUAACGUUACACUUCAAAUUGACAAAACUGAUGCUGUUAUUUGCCUUCAGAGAUAUUUGACACAACAACAACCUUACAGCUAAGACACGACAGUGACUGAUGGAGUGAGUCUGGCAAGCCACGUGCAAUCUGACCGUAGUUUAAAUGAUCUGGUCCACAAAAACCUUAUUCGCAGUGGAAUUUAUAAUAACAUUACCCAGUGCUCAUUUGUUUACAAUGAGAAAUUAUUUGGUCAGGGUUGUGUUUACACUGAGAAGAUUGAACAUGGUUCAAAGAAGUCUAAUGUUUUGCGCAAGAUUAAGGACUUGGAUUCCCUCCCCAUGGUUACCAAGGAUGGAUUUAGAAACAUUGUGGCAUUGCAAAGUGAUGCACCCCUGCAGAUGGGUCACAAACAUUACCUGUCUCUUUGGAAUAAUGAGGGUCCUGAAGGCAGAGUAUAGGUUCUAGAUGGUAAAAUGAUAAUUUCAGUUGCUAACUAUUGUGAGAAUUACAAUGGUGAUUACCUGAACCAGACUUAUUUUGAGGUCGCAGACCAAAGUGUCACCAUGCCCCUUGUCAUGUAGAAUGAGCUGUGGCCAGAGUGGUACCAGAGACUGAAUGUUGGAACUGUGCUUUACUUCAAAAACUACACCCUCAAGCAGAGUAAUCCCAACAGGUCUCGACCUGACAUAGACAACCACAGAAUGAAGAGCUUUCACUCAGUAGAAAUCUGUCUGAAUCCUUGGAAUCCCACUGCACUCCUUACUGUGGUUCCAGCCAAGUGUGCAGUCUCAAUGGGGCUUGCCUAAGGUUUCCUACCAGUUCACCACCAGGUAAGUUCACAACCACAUUAAGCAGUUUAGAUGAGAUUGUAUGUAAAA